RNAcentral lists this ribosomal RNA (253 nucleotides) under uncultured bacterium. RNAcentral's name for it is "partial 16S ribosomal RNA". It matches the Rfam family "Bacterial small subunit ribosomal RNA", at positions 524 to 776 of the family's 1533-position model. The record is from RNAcentral.
UACGAAGGGGGCUAGCGUUGUUCGGCAUUACUGGGCGUAAAGCGCGCGCAGGCGGCUAUCCAAGUCAGUGGUGAAAGCCCGGAGCUCAACUCCGGAACUGCCAUUGAAACUGUUUAGCUUGAGGACGAGAGAGGUGAGUGGAAUUCCGAGUGUAGAGGUGAAAUUCGUAGAUAUUCGGAAGAACACCAGUGGCGAAGGCGACUCACUGGACGACUGUUGACGCUGAGGUGCGAAAGCGUGGGGAGCAAACAGG